RNAcentral lists this unclassified non-coding RNA (253 nucleotides) under uncultured Patescibacteria group bacterium. RNAcentral's name for it is "contains 16S-23S intergenic spacer region". It matches the Rfam family "Bacterial small subunit ribosomal RNA", at positions 524 to 776 of the family's 1533-position model. The record is from RNAcentral.
UACGUAGGUGGCAAGCGUUGUCCGGAAUUACUGGGCGUAAAGCGUCCGUCGGCGGUUUGUCAAGUUUCUUGUUUAAGCCUGAGGCUCAACUUCAGACCAGCAAGAAAAACUGACAAACUUGAGUCUGUUCGAGGUAACUGGAAUUCUCGGUGGAGGGGUGAGAUCCGUAGAUAUCGAGAGGAACGCCGAGCGCGAAAGCAGGUUACUAGAACAAGACUGACGCUUAGGGACGAAAGCUAGGGUAGCAAAGCGG